This 795-nucleotide ribosomal RNA is filed under the name uncultured archaeon. RNAcentral describes it as "bacterial SSU rRNA". It matches the Rfam family "Archaeal small subunit ribosomal RNA", at positions 85 to 879 of the family's 1478-position model. The record is from RNAcentral.
ACGGCUCAGUAACACGUGGACAACCUACCCUGAGGUCGGGGAUAAACCCGGGAAACUGGGUAUAAUACCCGAUAGAUCUAGAUCGCUGGAAUGCUUUUAGGUCUAAAGUUCCGACGCCUCAGGAUGGGUCUGCGGCCUAUCAGGGUAGUAGUGGGUGUAAAGUACCUACUAGCCUACGACGGGUACGGGUUGUGAGAGCAAGAGCCCGGAGAUGGAUUCUGAGACACGAAUCCAGGCCCUACGGGGUGCAGCAGGCGCGAAACCUUUACAAUGCUGGCAACAGCGAUAAGGGGACCUCGAGUGCUACGAUACAAUCGUGGCUGUCUAGUUGCCUAAAAAGCAAUUGAUAGCAAGGGCCGGGCAAGACCGGUGCCAGCCGCCGCGGUAACACCGGCGGCUCGAGUGGUAACCGCUAUUAUUGGGUCUAAAGGGUCUGUAGCCGGCUUAGUUAGUCUCUUGAGAAAUCUGGCCGCUCAACGGUCAGGCGUUCAGGGGAUACUGCUAAAGCUCGAGACCGGGAGAGGUGAGAGGCACUUCAGGGGUAGGGGUGAAAUCUUGUAAUCCUUGAAGGACCACCAGUGGCGAAGGCGUCUCACCAGAACGGAUCUGACGGCAAGGGACGAAAGCUAGGGGCACGAACCGGAUUAGAUACCCGGGUAGUCCUAGCCGUAAACGAUACUCGCUAGGUGUCGGCCACGGUGCGACCGUGGUCGGUGCCGUAGGGAAGCCGUGAAGCGAGCCACCUGGGAAGUACGGCCGCAAGGCUGAAACUUAAAGGAAUUGGCGGGGGAGCAC